Molecule: ribosomal RNA, 1886 nt
Filed under: Yersinia pestis
Lineage: Bacteria; Pseudomonadati; Pseudomonadota; Gammaproteobacteria; Enterobacterales; Yersiniaceae
Description: bacterial LSU rRNA
Rfam family: Bacterial large subunit ribosomal RNA
Source: RNAcentral
GGAAGGCAUAGACAGCUAGGAGGUUGGCUUAGAAGCAGCCACCCUUUAAAGAAAGCGUAAUAGCUCACUAGUCGAGUCGGCCUGCGCGGAAGAUGUAACGGGGCUAAAACUAUAUGCCGAAGCUGCGGAUGCAUAAUUUAUUAUGCGUGGUAGGGGAGCGUUCUGUAAGCCGAUGAAGGUGGAUUGAGAAGUCUGCUGGAGGUAUCAGAAGUGCGAAUGCUGACGUGAGUAACGACAAUGCGAGUGAAAAACUCGCACGCUGAAAGACCAAGGGUUCCAGUCCAACGUUAAUCGGGGCUGGGUGAGUCGACCCCUAAGGCGAGGCCGAGAGGCGUAGUCGAUGGGAAAUUGGUUAAUAUUCCAAUACUUCUGUGUAAUGCGAUGAGAGGACGGAGAAGGUUAAGUCAGCCUGGCGUUGGUUGUCCAGGUGGAAGGUUGUAGGCAUGUAUCUUAGGCAAAUCCGGGGUACUCUAUGCUGAGAACUGAUAGCAAGCUGUACUUGUACAGUGAAGUGGCUGAUACCAUGCUUCCAGGAAAAGUCUCUAAGCUUCAGUUACACAGGAAUCGUACCCGAAACCGACACAGGUGGUCAGGUCGAGUAGACCAAAGCGCUUGAGAGAACUCUGCUGAAGGAACUAGGCAAAAUGGUACCGUAACUUCGGGAGAAGGUACGCUGUUGUCUGUGAUAGGACUUGCUCCUUGAGCGGCCGACAGCCUCAGAAACCAGGCCCCUGCAACUGUUUAUUAAAAACAUAGCACUCUGCAAACACGAAAGUGGACGUAUAGGGUGUGAUGCCUGCCCGGUGCUGGAAGGUUAAUUGAUGGGGUUAGCGUAAGCGAAGCUCUUGAUCGAAGCCCCAGUAAACGGCGGCCGUAACUAUAACGGUCCUAAGGUAGCGAAAUUCCUUGUCGGGUAAGUUCCGACCUGCACGAAUGGCAUAAUGAUGGGGGCGCUGUCUCCAGCAGAGACUCAGUGAAAUCGAAUUCGCCGUGAAGAUGCGGUGUACCCGCGGCUAGACGGAAAGACCCCGUGAACCUUUACUGCAGCUUGACAUUGAACUUUGAUCUUACUUGUGUAGGAUAGGUGGGAGGCUUUGAAGUCGCGACGCUAGUUGCGAUGGAGCCGUCCUUGAAAUACCACCCUGGUAAUAUUGAGGUUCUAACUCUGUCCCGUUAUCCGGGACGAGGACCAUGUCUGGUGGGUAGUUUGACUGGGGCGGUCUCCUCCUAAAGAGUAACGGAGGAGUACGAAGGUGCGCUCAGCGUGGUCGGAAAUCACGCGUAGAGUAUAAAGGCAAAAGCGCGCUUAACUGCGAGACCCACAAGUCGAGCAGGUACGAAAGUAGGUCUUAGUGAUCCGGUGGUUCUGUAUGGAAGGGCCAUCGCUCAACGGAUAAAAGGUACUCUGGGGAUAACAGGCUGAUACCGCCCAAGAGUUCAUAUCGACGGCGGUGUUUGGCACCUCGAUGUCGGCUCAUCUCAUCCUGGGGCUGAAGCAGGUCCCAAGGGUAUGGCUGUUCGCCAUUUAAAGAGGUACGCGAGCUGGGUUUAGAACGUCGUGAGACAGUUCGGUCCCUAUCUACCGUGGGCGUUGGAAAUUUGAGAGGAUCUGCUCCUAGUACGAGAGGACCAGAGUGGACGAACCUCUGGUGUACCGGUUGUCACGCCAGUGGCAUCGCCGGGUAGCUAUGUUCGGAAGGGAUAACCGCUGAAAGCAUCUAAGCGGGAAGCCUACCUCAAGAUAAGAUUUCCCCGAGACUUUAUGUCUCCUAAAGAGCCGUUGAAGACUACGACGUUGAUAGGUUGGAUGUGGAAGCAUAGUGAUAUGUGAAGCUGACCAAUACUAAUUGCUCGUGAGGCUUGACUAUACAACACCCAAACAGUUG